AUUGCACUCCAGUCUGGGUGACAGAACGAGACCCUGUCUCAAAAAAGCAAAACAAAACAAAACAAAAACCGAAUAUUAGAGGACAAUGUUAGGACUGUCCCAGCUGUCCUAGCUGGAGCCAAAGGUUUGUUGGGGACAGUGACAGCAGCACACGAGGCUGUAAGUUUAGGGCCAGUUUAUGGAGGAGUAGUACCAAUUACAUUGAGAAAACUGUAGCAACUAUAAUUUGGGAGGAAUUUUCUAAAUACUUUACAUGUGUUAUUUAAUCUUCCCAUCAGCCCCAGGAGGUAUGUGCAUUUAUCAGUCCCAUUCUACAGAUGAAAAGACUGAGGUCUAUGAACUCCUUUAUUUAAAAACAAAACAAAACCCCCUCAAGGCUGCCUGCUAAGAGGGGAGGAGUGUGGAUUCAAGCCAGCAUCCUUAUUCCAGUGUCCAUGCUCUCAGCCACCACACACACACUCCUAUCAGGAGUUGGGGCAGUGGGGAGCCAUUAUAGUUUUUGAGCAAGAGAGUGACAGGGCAAAGAUCACUGUGGCCUCAGUGUGAAGCACAGAUGAGAUGGAGAGACUGGAGGCAGGGAGGCCCAUGAGGAGGCUGUCAACAUGGUUCAGGUGACAGCUCUGGGUUGGUGAAGAAGCAGAGAACAGGAAGGAAGGGGCGAGAGGCUUGAGGGAGGAGGAGGAAGCCUUUGGACUGGGCCGUGGAUAUAGGGUGGGAACAUAGGAGGUGAGGAGCAUGCUCUCUCCACCUGCUUUUUGCAACAUGCGGCCUCUCUGGCCUUAGCUCUGCCUGUCCUGAGCCCUGAGCCCUGAGCCCAAUGGACCGAUUCUGUUUUUUUUUUGAGAUGGAGUCUUGCUCUUGUUGCCUAGGCUGGAGUGCAGUGGUGUGAUCUUGGCUCACUGCAACCUCUGCCUUCUGAGUUCAAGCGAUUCUCCCACCUCAGCCUCCCAAGUAGCUGGGACUACAGGCGUGCCCCACCACGCCUGGCUAAUUUUUUGUAUUUUUUUUAGUAGAGAUGGUGUUUCGCCAUGUUGGCCCGGCUGGUCUUGAACUCCUGACCUCAGGUGAUCCACCUGCCUUGGCCUCCCAGAGUGCUGGGAUUACAGGCGGGAGCCACCGUGCCCGGCCCCAGUGGACUGAUUCUGGUCAGUGUCAACCCCAUUUGUCCCUGGAGCUUUUGCAGUCGGUCACAGGGCCAGCCCGGUCCUGGUCACCGCUGGCUGGUUACCCCGGCUGGGUUGGGCAGGAGUCUGGGCAGGGCUGGUUGCUCAUCUCAGGUAUGAAAUUGGCUGCACCCCCACUAGUGUGGGGGAGCAGGAUUCCAGGGCCUGCCUGGCGCUGCUACCCCUGUGCCUCCAGACCCCUCGAGCUCCUCCCAGACCUUUGGCUUCGUUGACUGUGAGGUGAAAACAAAAGGGCUGCUCUCUGUCACUUCCCCUAGGGGCGGGCAGAUGCUGGCAGGGCACAGAGAGCCGAGGGCUAAGAGCUGACAUUUAGCCUGGCUACUCAGGAGACUGAGGCAGGAGAAUCGCUUGAACCUGGGAGGCGGAGUUUGCAGUGAACCGAGAUCGCGCCAUUGCACUCCAGCCUGGGUGACAGGGUGAGAUUCUGUCUCCAAAAAAAAAAAAAAAAGAAGAGCUGACAUUUAGCGGGUGCUUCUUGGGUGCAAUGCGCAAGAGACCGAUGCAUUAACUACACAGAGUGCCCUUCCUUGUCACAGCUACCUGGGGGCAGGGGAACAUCAUCCCCAUUUUACAGAAGAGGCCUUUGAAGCACAGAGAUUAACUGACGUACUUAGGGUUUUGCAGCUCACUAGAGGCAGAGCCAAGACUCCACCCCAGGUGGCCAGGCUCCUGAGCGCUAUGCCUACCUCACCCUCCAAUGAGGUGGUGGUGGAGGAGACCGUGAGCCGCUGUCACCUGAACACUGGUGCACUCAGUCUGCUGCUCUGAGGACGCCGCCCCCUCUCUUUCUCUGUGUAAAGGCUUGAUCUCGACCCCUAAAGCCUGAAGCUUCUCCCUGUGGCCACCUCCCCACCGCAUCAUCUUCCGUUCUCAGCGGGUAGAUCCCUGCCCAGGGGGGACCCCCUGGGGAAGGCUGGGAGCAUGACCUCUUCCCAAGGGUACGGCAUCUAAAAGGGAUCUCCGGAACAUUGAAAAGCCAUGAAGGCCGGGCACAGCGGCUCACGCCUGUAAUCCCAGCACUUUGGGAGGCUGAGGGAGGAGGAUCGCUUAAGGCCAGGAGUUCAAGACCAGUCUGGACAACAUAGCAAGACCCGGUCUCUUUCUAUAAAUGAAAAAAUAAUAAUAAAGCCAUGAAGAUCCCCAAA
Homo sapiens (human) is the source of this 2329-nucleotide long non-coding RNA. RefSeq lists it as uncharacterized. The transcript has 2 exons. The record is from RefSeq and is a predicted model, not a curated record. Lineage: Eukaryota; Metazoa; Chordata; Mammalia; Primates; Hominidae.